RNAcentral lists this transfer RNA (84 nucleotides) under Felis catus (domestic cat). It matches the Rfam family "tRNA". Rfam says of the family: Transfer RNA (tRNA) molecules are approximately 80 nucleotides in length. Their secondary structure includes four short double-helical elements and three loops (D, anti-codon, and T loops). Further hydrogen bonds mediate the characteristic L-shaped molecular structure. tRNAs have two regions of fundamental functional importance: the anti-codon, which is responsible for specific mRNA codon recognition, and the 3' end, to which the tRNAs corresponding amino acid is attached (by aminoacyl-tRNA synthetases). tRNAs cope with the degeneracy of the genetic code in two manners: having more than one tRNA (with a specific anti-codon) for a particular amino acid; and 'wobble' base-pairing, i.e. permitting non-standard base-pairing at the 3rd anti-codon position. Lineage: Eukaryota; Metazoa; Chordata; Mammalia; Carnivora; Felidae. The record is from Rfam by way of RNAcentral. RNAcentral also lists the same sequence under 4 other names.
GCCUGGUGGCUCAGUCGAUUAAGCACCCGACUUCAGCUCAGGUCACGAUUUCAUGGUUUGUGGGUUCAAGCCCCACAUCAGGCU